UACGUAGGGGGGCAAGCGUUGUCCGGAUUUAUUGGGCGUAAAGCGCGUGUAGGUGGCCAUGUAGGUCCGCUGUGAAAACUCGAGGCUCAACCUCGAGCUGUCGGUGGAAACCACAUGGCUAGAGUACGAAAGAGGGUCGCGGAAUUCCCGGUGUAGAGGUGAAAUUCGUAGAUAUCGGGGAGGAACACCGGUGGCGAAGGCGGCGACCUGGGUCGAGACUGACGCUGAGGCGCGAAAGCGUGGGGAGCAAACAGG
This 255-nucleotide ribosomal RNA is filed under the name uncultured bacterium. RNAcentral's name for it is "partial 16S ribosomal RNA". It matches the Rfam family "Bacterial small subunit ribosomal RNA", at positions 524 to 776 of the family's 1533-position model. The record is from RNAcentral.